GACGAACGCUGGCGGCGUGCUUAACACAUGCAAGUCGAACGGAAAGGCCCUGCUUUUGUGGGGUGCUCGAGUGGCGAACAGGUGAGUAACACGUGAGUAACCUGCCCUUAACUUUGGGAUAACUUCAGGAAACUGGGGCUAAUACCGGAUAGGAGCUCCUGCUGCAUGGUGGGGGUUGGAAAGUUUCGGCGGUUGGGGAUGGACUCGCGGCUUAUCAGCUUGUUGGUGUGGUAGUGGCUUACCAAGGCUUUGACGGGUAGCCGGCCUGAGAGGGUGACCGGGCACAUUGGGACUGAGAUACGGCCCAGACUCCUACGGGAGGCAGCAGUGGGGAGUAUUGCACAAUGGGCGGAAGCCUGAUGCAGCAACGCCGCGUGCGGGAUGACGGCCUUCGGGUUGUAAACCGCUUUCGCCUGUGACGAAGCGUGAGUGACGGUAAUGGGUAAAGAAGCACCGGCUAACUACGUG
This 468-nucleotide ribosomal RNA is filed under the name uncultured bacterium. Its description in RNAcentral is "partial 16S ribosomal RNA". It matches the Rfam family "Bacterial small subunit ribosomal RNA", at positions 28 to 507 of the family's 1533-position model. The record is from RNAcentral.